RNAcentral lists this long non-coding RNA (2179 nucleotides) under Brassica rapa (field mustard). Its description in RNAcentral is "long non-coding RNA (BRAP_LNC003211)". Lineage: Eukaryota; Viridiplantae; Streptophyta; Magnoliopsida; Brassicales; Brassicaceae. The record is from RNAcentral.
AUGAAAAAGGAAGGUCAUCAACACGGUUUCGUUCGGACCGGGAUGAUUCAUCCGCCAGGAUUUAGUCCAAGACCCUCCAACCAAUUCAUGAACCGGCUUGAUUCGCCACCGGCUUCAGGAGAACAUACCAAAGUGCCAUCAAAACCUACCCACCAUUCUAAAUUUACAGGAAAACAUGAGCGUUCCAAGUAUAGCAAUUGCCAUGUAUUGCCGGCUAUGAAGUCUGCUGACACAUCCAAGGGUCGCCAAAAGUUAAAGUCGACAGAUUGGUGGGUUGAUGAUAAGCUAGAUCGGCUCACCGGUUCGGGUGCCUCCUCUGCUAGAGAUAUUUUGGAUACAAUAGGUGGUGAAGGUUAUGGUGGUCAUGAUUAUGAUGAUGACGAUGACUGUUAAUCAUUUCAUCAAGAAACUUGAAAGUUGUUUUUUUCUUAUAUGUUGAAUUAGAUAACAUCUGUAAGACUAGUUUCGAAAAUAAAAAUGAAACAGCUAUGGAAAGAAAAAAGAAGAAGAUAUUUUCGAAUCAAUGCAAAAGUAUGAUAGAGUGCAACAUUAUUUAGUAUAAAGUUUUUCUAUAGAGUUUUUCUUGGGUUCACCCUUUAGAAUGAACAUGUACAUGUUAACCAACCAAUAAAAUUUAGUUAUUUUAGAUUCAGAUUUUUUUUAAAGAAAAUAAAAUAAUAAGAAUUUGUCAAGUUAUAUUAUAUUUUUAAAAUAAAUAAAAAUAAAUAAUAAUUACCAAUUUUUUUAACAUUGUUAACGCUAUCACGAAAACACUAAAUCAUAAACUUUAAAUCCUAAACCCUUAGGUAAACUCUAGAUCUUUGGGUAAACUCUAAACUUUUGGAUAAAUCCUAAACCUUAAAUCAUAAACAUCAAAAACUAAAUAUUAAAAACUCUAAAUCCUAAAUAGUAAACCCUAAACUCUUGGGAUUUAUGAUUUAUCCAAAGAUUCAAAGUUUAUGGUUAAGGAUCUAGGGUUUAUUAUUUUUAAAAUAUAGUUUUAAUGUUUAUGAUUUAUAGUUUAGGAUUUAUCCAAGAGUUUAUGUUUUAUCCGAGAGUUUAGAAUUUAAAAUUUAGGAUUUAGUUAUUUGCUAACGGAUUUAACACUAUUAAAAAAUUAUUUUUUGGUAAUUAUUAACAUUUUUAUUUAAAAAUAAUAAUAUAACUUGACAAAUUGUUAUUAUCUUGUUUUUUUUAAAAGAUAUUGAGUCUUAGAUAACUAAAUUCUAUUGGUUGAUGAACUUAAGGGUAUACUCAAGAAAAACUCUUUAAUAUAACAAUACAAAAAACAAAAGGGCAAAGACCCAAAACCUGAAGUAUUGGAUUCAUUUCUCUGAAUAAAUAGACUAAUCCAACAAUCCUCUUUAUAUCCUCCCGAGUGAUUUAGGAAUGUUCAUUACAUAGAAGAUUAUUGAAACUAAAAUCAAAAGCUAUUACUCUUGAUCAAAGUUUUAUUGACCAGAUGUGAAUAUCUGAAUAAAACAAACCAUUCUAUCAAUUACUUUACUUUGGAACAAAAUAAUUAAAAUUAGCUUUAGAUCUGAUUCACUGGAAUGUGUACUAUUUUCAGUGGAUUUUUCAAAGGAAUAGUAUUUCUAAUUAUUUCCGUUUCUUUCUUAUAUAUGGUAUUGUUAUUUUAAAUAAAAUAUGAUGUGGACAUCUUUAGAAAGAGCAACAAAAAAAGACUUUUAAAUUAUCAGAUAAUGUGGAGAAAAAAGUAGAAUAUAAUACUAAUUUCUUGGCGACCAAGUGCAUCUGACUAUUCGCAUUUUCUUGUGUCCCAAACAUAUUUGGUAUAACCCUCAAUUAUAUGUCCUUCUAUAAAUAUAUCCACACAUGCAUUGGUAGUUUUACAAUUCAUCAAAGUCUCAAAGCAAAAUAAGCAAAAAUGAAAAAGGAAGGUCGUCAACACGGCUUCGUUCGGACUGGGAUGAUUCAUCCGCCAGGAUUUAGUCCAAGACCCUCCAACCAAUUCAUGAACCGGCUUGAUUCGCCACCGGCUUCACGAGAAUUUACCAAAGUGACCAUCAAAACCUACCAACCAUUCUAAAUUUACAGGAAAAAAUGAGCGUUCCAAGUAUAGCAACUGCCAUGUGUCGCCGGCUAUGAUGUCUGCUGACACAUCCAAGGGUCGCCAACAGUUAAAGUCAAUAGAUUGGUGGGUUGAUGAUAAGCUAGA